Molecule: ribosomal RNA, 253 nt
Filed under: uncultured bacterium
Lineage: Bacteria
Description: partial 16S ribosomal RNA
Rfam family: Bacterial small subunit ribosomal RNA
Source: RNAcentral
UACGUAGGGUGCAAGCGUUAAUCGGAAUUACUGGGCGUAAAGCGUGCGUAGGCGGUUAUGCAAGACAGAUGUGAAAUCCCCGGGCUCAACCUGGGAACUGCAUUUGUGACUGCAUAGCUGGAGUGCGGCAGAGGGGGAUGGAAUUCCGCGUGUAGCAGUGAAAUGCGUAGAUAUGCGGAGGAACACCGAUGGCGAAGGCAAUCCCCUGGGCCUGCACUGACGCUCAUGCACGAAAGCGUGGGGAGCAAACAGG